AAAAGGAAAAGGUAAGGACAACGAAACUCAGUUCUCAAAACCUCACGCACGAAAUCUCUCUUCUCUCAAUCGCUACCAGCAAGCUCUCUCCAUCGCCCUCAAUGAAAUCGCUCCCUCAUCGCUCUCUCAAUCUCCAAUCUCACUCAAUCGCUCACUCCAUCGCUCUCAAUGUCUCUCUCUCUCUCGAUCGCGCUCUCAAUCCCUCUUCUAUCGUCGCCCUCACGAAAUCGCUCUCACCCACAACAAAUCAUACUGAAACAAAAACGGGGAGCUCACCUUGCUCAAGGUUUCAAAGGUGUAUUUGGUGUUCAAAGGAGCAUCCUGCAAAAUCCUCUUUCAUGUGCUCAGUUUGGAUCGGCCUGUUUUAAUGCUAAAACCGAAAACGUGAAUUCAGAGUAUUGGUCUGAACUUGGUUUGGGGUGGCUUGUGAGAGGAUUCGUUGGUUGUUGCUGCUGCAGUUGUGAUGUUUGCUGCUGAGGAGAAGGCGUAUUCAUCAUAUUUGUAGAAGACCUAGACUCAAGCUCCGAUAUAGCUACUUCUUUGUCGUGUACAAUGGCAACAAUGUAUUCCUGGUUUUUAUCUUAACCACUGCAUUUAUUUUGGACCAUUGAGCUGCAAUCAUUUCAACUUCUUCAACUCUCAAAGAAUGUAUUGUAGUUAACCACUUAAACUUCUGAAUGUGAAGGCUCUGUGGACAGGGACGAGUCUGUGCCAUAAUUCCAAAGCCAACUGAGCAGACUGAAGAACUUCGGAAGAUUCAUCUAUCAGAUCAUGCUUAUGAUUACUCAAACUAUUAACCACUUAAGCAAUAACUGAAGGAGAAUGGUCUGUUUCACUUCCUACAGGUGUGGAAACCCCAGAUUCAGAUAUAUCACUGUCAACAGCUCGAGACGGUAUAAUAGCCACAGUAGGAGAUUGCAAAGAAACCUGAUCUUUAGAUGAUUGGCCUUUUUUCAGGUUUCUUCUGGUUAUCCUUCAAAGAGUUGGACCGACUAAUGGGUUCCCUCGUGUUGGCUUCAUUAUUUAUCACAACAGAAACAGAAUCCUCGGUCACAACUGAUGUAGGUAGCACUGUAACCUUAUCAGCAGUGACAACAACAGAUUCAGCAGAUUGUUUUGGCAAAAUUUCCUCAGAAGAUUCAACCGGUGGCAUAGGAUAUUCACACGCUUCAGCAAAGUCAUCUUCUGGAACUGGUUCUGGUUGAAAUUUGUUUUAUGGAGAAAAUAAAUGAUCCCAAAUUUUUUUUUGGACUCCAACCUUUGCCGUAUUAAAAACAGCAUGUCUACAAUCCGGGAGGACGCUGACGGACCAAGGAGGUGAAUUAUAAUGCAUAUUGUUGAAACGCACUCUAGCAGAAGAUUUGGAAUCAAAGUUUGAGAGAAAAGCAAAACAAUCUCCAGAUUUUGUCGAGUAUACAUAGGCCUGUUGGAAGUUUCCUAACGAGGUAACAACCGGAUCAGUUGAAACUAAAGCUUGCUCACACAUUUUGAUAGCCUUAUGAAGCUAUGUGUAUGUUUUUCUAUCGGAUCCCUGUAAUUGUGAUUGUUCAGGAUUGUACUUGUAGGAUUCAUGUAAUAUUAUGAACUUGUAAGAAAAUACUGUGAAAUGUAAUUUGGAACAUGACUUUGUAACUUAUGGAAAUGUUGUGAUGGUUGUGUAAUGAAUUUGGAAAUGGAAAUGGAUAUGCAAUGGUAA
Molecule: long non-coding RNA, 1696 nt
Organism: Lathyrus oleraceus (garden pea)
Lineage: Eukaryota; Viridiplantae; Streptophyta; Magnoliopsida; Fabales; Fabaceae
Exons: 7
Source: RefSeq, a predicted model, not a curated record